This 422-nucleotide ribosomal RNA is filed under the name uncultured bacterium. RNAcentral describes it as "bacterial SSU rRNA". It matches the Rfam family "Bacterial small subunit ribosomal RNA", at positions 359 to 773 of the family's 1533-position model. The record is from RNAcentral.
GAAUAUUGGACAAUGGGGGCAACCCUGAUCCAGCGAUGCCGCGUGAGUGAAGAAGGCCUUCGGGUCGUAAAGCUCUUUAGGUUGGGAAGAAGGGUGAUAGGGGAUAAUCCUGUUACUUUGACGGUACCGACAGAAUAAGCACCGGCAAACUCUGUGCCAGCAGCCGCGGUAAUACAGAGGGUGCAAGCGUUAAUCGGAGUUACUGGGCGUAAAGGGCGCGUAGGCGGUUAUAUGAGUGUGGUGUGAAAGCCCCGGGCUUAACCUGGGAAGUGCAUCGCAAACGAUAUAACUGGAGUAGAUGAGAGGGUGGCGGAAUUUCCGGUGUAGCGGUGAAAUGCGUAGAGAUCGGAAGGAACGUCAAUGGCGAAGGCAGUCACCUGGCAUCAUACUGACGCUGAGGCGCGAAAGCGUGGGGAGCGAAC